RNAcentral lists this ribosomal RNA (393 nucleotides) under uncultured bacterium. Its description in RNAcentral is "partial 16S ribosomal RNA". It matches the Rfam family "Bacterial small subunit ribosomal RNA", at positions 523 to 918 of the family's 1533-position model. The record is from RNAcentral.
AUACGGAGGAUCCGAGCGUUAUCCGGAUUUAUUGGGUUUAAAGGGUGCGCAGGCGGGAGAUUAAGUCGGCGGUGAAAUUUUGCAGCUCAACUGUAAAAGUGCCUUCGAAACUGGGUUCCUUGAGUGUAGAUGAAGUAGGCGGAAUUUGUGGUGUAGCGGUGAAAUGCAUAGAUAUCACGAGGAACUCCGAUUGCGCAGGCAGCUUACUAAACUACUACUGACGCUCAGGCACGAAGGCGUGGGGAUCAAACAGGAUUAGAUACCCUGGUAGUCCACGCAGUAAACGAUGAUUACUAGCUGUUUGCGAUACAAUGUAAGCGGCUAAGCGAAAGCGUUAAGUAAUCCACCUGGGGAGUACGUUCGCAAGAAUGAAACUCAAAUGAAUUGACGGGG